AACCUUCGAUCCCUCAGACGGCACUGUAUCAAAAACCGACAUCAAUCUCUAAAGGAUAUCACCACAUGGGCUCAGGAACACUUCAGAAAAACACUGUCACUAAAUUCAGUGCGUCGGUACAUCUGUAAGUGCAAGUCAAAGCUCUACUAUGCAAAGCGAAAGCCAGUUAUCAACAACACCCUGGGCCCGAGAUCAUCUAAGAUGGACUGAUACAAAGUGGAAAAGUGUUCUGUGGUCUGACGAGUCCACAUUUCAAAUUAUUUUUGGAAAUAUUCGACAUUGUGUCAUCCGGACCAAAGGGGAAGCGAACCAUCCAGACUGUAAUCGACGCAAAGUUCAAAAGCCAGCAUCUGUGAUGGUAUGGGGGUGCAUUAGUGCCCAAGGCAUGGGUAACUUACACAUCUGUGAAGGCACCAUUAAUGCUGAAAGGUACAUACAGGUUUUGGAACAACCUAUGCUGCCAUCUAAGCGCCGUCUUUUUCAUGGACGCCCCUGCUUAUUUCAGCAAGACAAUGCCAAGCCACAUUCAGCACAUGAUACAACAGCGUGGCUUUGUAAAAAAAGAUUGCAGGUACUUUCCUGGCCCGCCUGCAGUCCAGACCUGUCUCCCAUUGCAAAUGUGUGUGGCGCAUUAUGAAGCGUAAAAUACGACAGCAGAGACCCCUGACUGUUGAAUGACUGAAGCUCUACAUAAUAUAAGAAUGGCAAAUAAUUCCACUUUCAAAGCUUCAACAUUUAGUUUCCUCAGUUCCCAAAAGUUUUUUGAGUGUUGUUAAAAGAAAAGGUGAUGUAACACAUAGUGAACAUGCCCUUUCCCAACUACUUUGGCAUGUGUUGCAGCCAUGAAAUUCUAAGUUAAUUAUUAUUUGCCCAAAAAAAAAAAAGUUUAUGAGUUUGAACAUCAAAUAUCUUGUCUUUGUAGUGCAUUCAAUUGAAUAUGGGUUGAAAAGCAUUUGCAAAUCUUUGUAUUCCGUUUAUAUUUACAUCUAACAGAAUUUCCCAACUCAUAUGGAAACAGGGUUUGUAUAUAUCAUUAGAAAUGUUAUUAAAAGUGCGUAGUAGGUAUACAUUAUUUACCCACUGAACUUUUUUCACAGGACUCAUUUCCGCCAUCGUGAGCCACAAAUGAGGAGAUGCUGCUCCGUUAUUGAUUUAAGUAAAGUCUGAACGUCAUUAAGACAGGUAGAGCCAUCUUUUGACACUUCUUCCACUCCCAUCCUUGCACGCUACACCGCUACAACAAAGAUGACGGGAAAAGACGCUGUCGAAGUUGAGGCACGUAAAUAAGACCGCCCGAAAAACGGCCUUGUAUGCCUUUUGUAUGAAAAUAGACCUGAAUAGACCCGCUCAUCGACAAUGUGCAUUAUAGUCCGAAAAAUACAGUAAAAGAGCUUGUAGGGUCAAAAUAAAUUGCAUAAUUAAUCCAAGUUUGUACAUGAUUAAUGCAACAUUUUUUGUGAUUAAUCACAUGAGUUAACUCGUUCAUUGGAAAAGCAAAUAUGCUCAUAGUGCACAUUUCCAACCGGACAUCGACUGAUCUAUACUAUAUAUGAAUCUAUCCAGAGGCUUGCCAAAAUAUAAAUUCAUAUCUCUAAAGUUAGUCGGUUAUCAAUUUGUACUGACUAAUUUUUUCAGCCCUAAUUACAUUUGUUUGCUCUUUUAUUGUACUUAUGUUUCUUUUGUUUUUGUUGUAUCACGCACACACGCUGUGCUUCCUGCUGCUGCAAGUGCACGCAGAAGAUCCACUGCAAACACCAGAGACUCCCACACACUCAUCAAGCGGACCACGCCCACUCUCCGCUGCAGCCGACGGCAGGCCACACCUGACGCUAAUGAAGGAGGGCAGUAUAAAGAUGGCCGACGCUGACUCCUCGAUGUCGUGUUUGUGUCACCACCGCUGCUUCCCUUCUGGCCUCCCUUUGUCUUCCUGGAUCCCCCGACCUCGUUUAUGGACUUUGGACUCGCUCUCCUGCCUCGGGCCCCUCGCUUGGAUUUUGGACUCCCUCUGGCUUGUUCCUUCUCGGAUUUGGACACCCUUUUCAACCAACACGCACCUCAACAAACCUUACGGUAUCUACAUAUGAUAAAUUUCACACAUAGUCUUCCAUGCAAACACAUAGUAGCAUACACACUCCAUGUAAUCAUCAAGUCUUCAAAUAAACUUGUUGAACUUGA
This is a long non-coding RNA of Nerophis ophidion (straightnose pipefish), 2175 nucleotides long. RefSeq lists it as uncharacterized. The record is from RefSeq and is a predicted model, not a curated record. Lineage: Eukaryota; Metazoa; Chordata; Actinopteri; Syngnathiformes; Syngnathidae. The transcript has 2 exons.